GUAGGGUGCAAGCGUUAAUCGGAAUUACUGGGCGUAAAGCGUGCGCAGGCGGUUGUGUAAGUCAGAUGUGAAAUCCCCGGGCUCAACCUGGGAAUUGCAUUUGAGACUGCACGGCUAGAGUGUGUCAGAGGGGGGUAGAAUUCCACGUGUAGCAGUGAAAUGCGUAGAUAUGUGGAGGAAUACCGAUGGCGAAGGCGGCCCCCUGGGAUAACACUGACGCUCAUGCACGAAAGCGUGGGGGGAGCAAACAGGAUUAGAUACCCUGGUAGUCCACGCCCUAAACGAUGUCUACUAGUUGUCGGGUCUUAAUUGACUUGGUAACGCAGCUAACGCGUGAAGUAGACCGCCCUGGGAGUACGGUCGCAAGAUUA
This 371-nucleotide ribosomal RNA is filed under the name uncultured organism. RNAcentral's name for it is "partial 16S ribosomal RNA". It matches the Rfam family "Bacterial small subunit ribosomal RNA", at positions 527 to 896 of the family's 1533-position model. The record is from RNAcentral.